Molecule: non-coding RNA, 72 nt
Organism: Encephalitozoon romaleae SJ-2008
Lineage: Eukaryota; Fungi; Microsporidia; Unikaryonidae
Source: the annotation of a RefSeq genome assembly
GGGGGUUCGAUUCCCCCGUAGGGAAUUCCUUUUUCUCCUUACUACCUCCACAAGAAGAAGGAUCCUAGAGUA